GACGAACGCUGGCGGCGUGCCUAACACAUGCAAGUCGAACGAGGCUUAAGAGCUUGCUUUUAAGCUUAGUGGCGGACGGGUGAGUAACGCGUGAGGAACCUGCCUUUCAGAGGGGGAUAACGUUUGGAAACGAACGCUAAUACCGCAUGAAGUUGACGGUCUGCAUGGACCGACAACCAAAGGAGCAAUCCGCUGAAAGAUGGCCUCGCGUCCGAUUAGCUCGUUGGCGGGGUAACGGCCCACCAAGGCGACGAUCGGUAGCCGGACUGAGAGGUUGAUCGGCCACAUUGGGACUGAGACACGGCCCAG
This 309-nucleotide ribosomal RNA is filed under the name uncultured bacterium. RNAcentral describes it as "bacterial SSU rRNA". It matches the Rfam family "Bacterial small subunit ribosomal RNA", at positions 28 to 334 of the family's 1533-position model. The record is from RNAcentral.